GGGUCAGUAGGUUGGUCGUGCCACCGGUACGUACUGGUCUCACUGAUUCCUCCUUCCUGACGAACCGUAAUGCCAUUAAUUUGGUGGUGCGGGGAAACAGGACUGUUACUUUGAAAAAAUUAGAGUGUUUAAAGCAAGCUAACGCUUGAAUACAUUAGCAUGGAAUAAUGAAAUAGGACGAUCGAUCCUAUUUUGUUGGUUUCUAGGAUUGACGUA
This 216-nucleotide ribosomal RNA is filed under the name Glomeromycotina sp. RNAcentral describes it as "partial small subunit ribosomal RNA". The stretch from base 40 to 216 matches the Rfam family "Eukaryotic small subunit ribosomal RNA", at positions 686 to 864 of the family's 1831-position model. The record is from RNAcentral. Lineage: Eukaryota; Fungi; Glomeromycota.